UAACGAAUAUUGGGCAAUGGGCGAAAGCCUGACCCAGCAAUGCCGCGUGCAGGACGAAGUCCUUCGGGAUGUAAACUGCUGUCAGGGGUCCGCAAGCGAAGGGGUCCAACAGGCCCUGGAGUUGAGCAGCCCCAGAGGAAGCCUCGACUAACUCUGUGCCAGCAGUCGCGGUAAGACAGAGGAGGCAAGCGUUGUUCGGAAUCACUGGGCUUAAAGCGCGUGUAGGCGGCUUAGAAAGUGUCGUGUGAAAUCCCGCGGCUCAACCGCGGAACGGCACGGCAAACUACUUGGCUUGAGGUCGGUAGAGGUGCCUGGAACUCUAGGUGGAGCGGUGAAAUUCGUAGAGAUCGGGAGGAAUAUCAGUGGCGAAGGCGCCCAUCUGGACGGUAACUGACGCUGAGACGCGAAAGCGUGGGGAGCAAACA
Molecule: ribosomal RNA, 425 nt
Filed under: uncultured prokaryote
Description: bacterial SSU rRNA
Rfam family: Bacterial small subunit ribosomal RNA
Source: RNAcentral